This 2400-nucleotide long non-coding RNA is filed under the name Cavia porcellus (domestic guinea pig). Its description in RNAcentral is "lncRNA (ENSCPOG00000039386.1)". The record is from RNAcentral. Lineage: Eukaryota; Metazoa; Chordata; Mammalia; Rodentia; Caviidae.
UGGGCUUGUGCUGCCCCAGGCUCCUCUCUCUGUCUGCCUUUAGGUCACCUAUCAGCUGCAAAGAGGCCUGGUCCCAGGAGACACACUGUGGAGCCGGCCCUGGGAUGUCACAGAAGGCAAAUCAUCUGCAGCUUGGCAUGCAUCAGAGGACAAGUCUGGAAACUGCAGAGGCAGGGCACAGACCUGAGACUGGUUCACUGACUUCAUCUCCACUCUGUGCUGAAGCACAUUCCCGAUGCCUGGCUGAAGCCAUCGCUCUCCUGCCUCUGGGACCACACAUGCUGUGCUUUGCCCUGUCACACCUUAACUGAAGACCCAUCCAAAGACACACUGGCUGGACCGCCCGCCAUCCCAUGUGUUAAAAGGACUCAAGAGUUCUCUGUGUUCACCUCUCAACCAUAGACUAUGCAGUUCCCCUACCUUUCCCCUUGUUCAGCAAGCCUUCCAGUGUGCUGCCUGAGCCACAAUCUGGUGGUGGUCACGCUGACAUCUGUGGUGCCCACCUGUCCCUCCUCAGCACCACCCUGCUCUUCUCUGCACCACCAGCCUGUGCAAUCCCUUCCUCCUCCACUAUCCCUGAAGCCAGGAAUUUGACAGAAUCUGCCUGUUGGAGCAAAGAUACCAAGUGGCAUCCAGGAAAGGACAGUCCCUCAUGUCACAAGUUGGGCAAGGAGUGGGGAUGAAGGCGUGAACAAGACCCUCUCAGCCUCCAGAUGAUCAUCCACCAGCUGCAGCAACACCCUCCUCUCAUCCCAAAGCUGUUAUCAGUAGCUUACAAUCAUCAACAUGUGCUCGCCCUAAUUUUCAUGGUUUCUAAAUGCUUAGAUUAUUUUCCCUGCUGAAAUGCCUCAGUUACAUUGGCCGUGAGGAUUUUUCUAGAGUAAUUCUUCCCUGCUUUUACCUCUAGUAAGAGAAGAUUGCAUUUCAGUGGAAAAAUUACGUAGGAAAUAGGAAGAGACAUUUGCAGAGAUUCUAUUCCCUUUACCACUCUCAGUCAUUCUAGUGUUAUAGAAAGAGCCAGCAGUGUCCUCAAGGUCAAACUGGCUGAAUGCGUUUAUUAUUGUAAUGAUUACCAACCGUCUACCUUCACACAACACUAUCAUUACAGGAAAGCCCAUGAAAAUGCCUUCUUAGGCCUCAUUAAAGUUUCCAAUAACUCAGUCCAGCAUCUUCAGAUAGUUUCAGGGGUUAAAUCAAUACACAUAGUCCAAGAAUCAACAAGCCAAGACUGCCUAUUUCCUUGAGCUCUUUUAUUAGUCUUUAUUUGAUUGUAAGUGCUCUGGUAUUUUGGAAAUACCACCAGUAGAAAAUUAAACUUGAGCCAUGUUGGAAGGGACCUCAAUAUCGCUUUAUUCAUUGCUAAACUUUGGGUCCAGGUUUCUCAGUUAACAAAAUACAAGACCUGUUCAUUAUUGGAAGAACACUUCGAUGCUGGACCUUAGGCUAGGAUUCUGUGGAGAACCUCCAAGUAGAGCCCAGCCAGAGACAGUCAUCCACACCUAGGACUGCAGGACAAGUAGAUGUUUCGAGGAGGAAGUCAGCCCCUGCCCCAAUCAUGAACAAAGUCCACCUACACUCACCUUUGUUGCCAGCAUACAUUCUCCUACUCUUUUCGAAUCCCUGGAAAUGUCCUGUCUCCAUCCUCAGUAAUGCUUCUUCCUUACUAUGCAUGCUUCCUCCUCCUUAAUGUGAUUCCUCCAUGCCGUUUGCUGUCCUGUAUUUUCCUGUCUUGACUGUAAUUCACGCUCAUGAAAUGACCAUUGAUUAUUUUCUCAGCCUAGGGAAACAAGCAGCCAGUGAAACUAACCAAAGUGUUUGUUGGAUCUGUGGUCCUGUUCUUCAGCUUGCUGUCACUCUAACAAAAUACCUGAGAUAACCAAAUUACAAAGAGGAACAGUUAAUUUGGACUCACAUUUUGGAUGUUACAGUCCAUGAUCAGUUGGCUUCGCUGUUUUUAGGCCCAUGAUGAGGCAGCACAUUAUGGUAGGAGCACAUGACAGAGAAAACCUGCUUGUAUCAUAAGCCAAGGAGCAAAAGAAUGGAAGGGGAAGGCACUGGGGUCCCCUAAUUACUGCCAAGGCCAUACCCUCAAGGAGUAAGCACUUCUGUCAGGAACCACCUUUUAAAGUUUCUACCACUUCCCUAUAGUGCUAUCCUGUGGAACAGGACUUUAACACACUCACUUUGGGGCGACACUGAGCGCGCACAUUAUAGCAAUGCCUAUACUCCAUUUAAUCUUAAGAUUGACAUUUUCUUAAUUAUUGUCUUUUUUAUGCUUUAGAUAUACAGAGCCAGCUAGUUCUUCUUUUGGGAAGAUGUUGAGCAAUGCCUUAAAAGCACUUGGAACUCAAGACUUUGAUGUGGCCUCUUGAAGGAGUUUGCUUGUUGUUUUUUGGUACU